RNAcentral lists this unclassified non-coding RNA (378 nucleotides) under plant metagenome. Its description in RNAcentral is "partial contains 5.8S ribosomal RNA, internal transcribed spacer 2, and large subunit ribosomal RNA". The stretch from base 1 to 105 matches the Rfam family "5.8S ribosomal RNA", at positions 50 to 154 of the family's 154-position model. The record is from RNAcentral.
GAAAUGCGAUAAGUAAUGUGAAUUGCAGAAUUCAGUGAAUCAUCGAAUCUUUGAACGCACCUUGCGCUCCUUGGUAUUCCUUGGAGCAUGCCUGUUUGAGUAUCAUGAAAUCUUCAAAGUAAAUCUUUUGUUAACUCAAUUGGUUUCUACUUUGGUAUUGGAGGUCUUUGCAGCUUCACACCUGCUCCUCUUUGUUCAUUAGCUGGAUCUCAGUGUUAUGCUUGGUUCCACUCGGCGUGAUAAGUUAGCUAUCGCUGAGGACACUGUAAAAGGUGGCCAAGGUAAAUGCAGAUGAACCGCUUCUAAUAGUCCAUUGACUUGGACAAUACUUUUAUGAUCUGAUCUCAAAUCAGGUAGGACUACCCGCUGAACUUAAGC